This 233-nucleotide ribosomal RNA is filed under the name uncultured bacterium. RNAcentral's name for it is "partial 16S ribosomal RNA". It matches the Rfam family "Bacterial small subunit ribosomal RNA", at positions 15 to 244 of the family's 1533-position model. The record is from RNAcentral.
GAUCCUGGCUUAGAUUGAACGCUGGCGGCAUGCUUUACACAUGCAAGUCGGACGGCAGCACAGAGAAGCUUGCUUCUUGGGUGGCGAGUGGCGAACGGGUGAGUAACAUAUCGGAACGUACCGAGCAGUGGGGGAUAACUAAUCGAAAGAUUAGCUAAUACCGCAUAUAUUCUGAGGAAGAAAGCAGGGGACCAUUUGGCCUUGCGCUGUUUGAGCGGCCGAUAUCUGAUUAG